This 253-nucleotide ribosomal RNA is filed under the name uncultured bacterium. RNAcentral describes it as "partial 16S ribosomal RNA". It matches the Rfam family "Bacterial small subunit ribosomal RNA", at positions 524 to 776 of the family's 1533-position model. The record is from RNAcentral.
UACGUAGGGUGCAAGCGUUGUCCGGAAUUAUUGGGCGUAAAGAGCUCGUAGGCGGUUUGUCGCGUCGGCUGUGAAAACUCGGGGCUCAACCCCGAGCCUGCAGUCGAUACGGGCAGACUAGAGUGCUGUAGGGGAGACUGGAAUUCCUGGUGUAGCGGUGAAAUGCGCAGAUAUCAGGAGGAGCACCGGUGGCGAAGGCGGGUCUCUGGGCAGUAACUGACGCUGGGGAGCGAAAGCGUGGGGAGCGAACAGG